GCGGGCGUAGUUUAAUGGCAGAACAUGAGCUUCCCAAGCUUAUAGCGCGGGUUCGAUUCCCGUCGCCCGCUCCA
RNAcentral lists this transfer RNA (74 nucleotides) under Streptomyces oceani. RNAcentral's name for it is "tRNA-Gly". It matches the Rfam family "tRNA". Rfam says of the family: Transfer RNA (tRNA) molecules are approximately 80 nucleotides in length. Their secondary structure includes four short double-helical elements and three loops (D, anti-codon, and T loops). Further hydrogen bonds mediate the characteristic L-shaped molecular structure. tRNAs have two regions of fundamental functional importance: the anti-codon, which is responsible for specific mRNA codon recognition, and the 3' end, to which the tRNAs corresponding amino acid is attached (by aminoacyl-tRNA synthetases). tRNAs cope with the degeneracy of the genetic code in two manners: having more than one tRNA (with a specific anti-codon) for a particular amino acid; and 'wobble' base-pairing, i.e. permitting non-standard base-pairing at the 3rd anti-codon position. The record is from RNAcentral. Lineage: Bacteria; Bacillati; Actinomycetota; Actinomycetes; Kitasatosporales; Streptomycetaceae.